Molecule: long non-coding RNA, 689 nt
Organism: Ictalurus punctatus (channel catfish)
Lineage: Eukaryota; Metazoa; Chordata; Actinopteri; Siluriformes; Ictaluridae
Source: Ensembl
AAAAAAUCUCUAAACAGUAAAACGAAAUCCUUAAGUCGGGUUAUGGGGGAGUGUAGUUUUUUUUGACUGCACUAAUAGUUCAUAAACACCACACAGGAAGUAGGAAAAGAACUACAUUUCCCAUCUGCCCUGGCUGUCACAGGCUGCUUUCCAUUGCCCUAAGGAGUGAUUCUACUGCGGCAACGAGACCAAAUACAACGAAAGAAGACGGAUCUUUUGGUAGGCUGGUUAAUGAUGACCACAAGCACCCAAAUGGCAGAAUGCAGAAGACUGAAGUGGAUGGAAGCCCACAUCUUGGUCUGUUUGCUUUAACAGACUUUAAAGAAGGUGAUGAAAUUGCCUACAAUUACGGAGGAGGAGACUGGCCUUGGUGUAGCAAGGUAUGCAGGGUAUCUCCCUCUCUGUUUUCACAAUUUAAAAAUUAUUAAAAGAUAAACAUUGUCUUAUCCGGCAGUGUUGCGAUUCAUUUUUGUUGCACAACUAAUUUUGUUGUUGUGCAUUAACAAUAAAAUUAGACAUUAUUGUUCAUCUGAUCUGCUUCAGGUAUUUUACUGCCACGUUUAAGCAUGAACUACAAAACGUGUGUGUGUCUGAAUGCACCGUAAUUAUCCCAAAGUCUUCCAAAGUAUCCCAUAUCUAACCCUGAAAUAAUAAACUUAAUUCCUAUAGUGAAAUAAUUAUUGUUUUUG